AUUAAUUUGGGCGAUGGAGUCCGCCUUUAAUAGCCAUGAGGCUGAUGACUCCUACAGGUUG
This 61-nucleotide non-coding RNA is filed under the name Pseudothermotoga thermarum. RNAcentral's name for it is "Fluoride sequence". It matches the Rfam family "Fluoride riboswitch aptamer (crcB RNA motif)". Lineage: Bacteria; Thermotogati; Thermotogota; Thermotogae; Thermotogales; Thermotogaceae. The record is from RNAcentral. RNAcentral also lists the same sequence under 1 other name.